CCAUGUUGCUUUGUGCCACACACAACACUUAUCAUUUGGGAUUAUUUACGAGUAGAUAACUUUGUGUCACAUUUGCUAACUUAGUUUUGCACGUAAUACAUCACUAAAUCUUAAGAUCCAUAUAUGCUCCGAAUUGAGUAACAUCUGAUCCGUAUACGUUUUCAAGUAGCAUCCGUAACAUCUGAUCCGUAUCCGUUUUCAAGUAGCAUCCGUAACAUCUGAUCCGUAUUCGUUUUCAAGUAGCAUCCGCUCCAUAUAUCCCAUUCGUAUGUGUUACAGCAAAAACAUGACGACAAAAAUGAUACUGUGUCUGUAUCCUCUACAUGCGCGAACUGCUGCAGGUAGGGUGCUCUUAGGCUGAAGACUUGUCGCCGCCAAAGGCAUUCUCCAGAACACCGGUGGCCUCAAGGUGGCUAACAUCUCCACACAUCUUGACAAUGCAGCGGCCAGUGUCACCAGAAACGAGCACGACAGUAACCGACGUGUUGUAUAUUUUACCGCGGAGCGGCACGGGACUGGCGUGCCUGUAGAGCUCUCUGAUGGUUCCACCAUGAGAGACUAGGAUAACACGCUCCCCUGUAAGUAAAUGAGAAAAACAAGAUCAGAAAUGCUCAGGAGGUCAUAGCCAAGUAAGCAGAUCUCAUGCAUAACAGGUACUCCCUCCGUUCCUAAAUACAAGUCUUUUUAGAGAUUCCACUACAAACUACAUACGGAUGUAAUAGACAUAUUUUAGAGUGUAGAUGCACUCAUUUUGCUCCGUAUGUAGUUCAUAGUGGAAUCUCUAAAAAAACUUAUAUUUAGGAACGGAAGGAGUAUUUUUUGUCUUUAAUAUUUCUCUUUAACGGUUAUUUGAAGUUUUAAACAUCAACACAGUAUCUCCUCUACAGCCCACAAGAACCAAAGGAUGCCAAUAAGCCCACCCUUUCUUUGAAUAGCAUUCCUUUUGAUAGGUGGUGAGCAAACUCUCAGGGUUUUCUUUUUCGAGAUUGAAAUAUAUAAUUUAUCCAGAUUGUCAAGUUUACAAAAUAAUAGUCUGAUUUAAUACCAGUUAUAUGUCAACGAAAAAAAAUGAAGCUCAAAGUUUAGUUUUGUUUUGUUUUUGCUUUUUGCAGUAAAAAGUCUGAAGCCCGGAGUUUACCUCUAUGUUUCUCGACUAUUUUAUACAGGCAUGAGACACAUCGCUCGGAUAGUUGAUCAAGACUCUCUCCACCACCCUGAAAGGACAAGCCCCAAAAAAUUCAGAACAAUAAAUCUUUCGAGACAAGCUAAUGCAUGCGGCUGAUACAAGCAUACGGCUGGUUAGAGAAAAGCUGUCUGAGCAUCCUGUAUGAUAAAAAUCGACCUAGAAUACAAAACCGUCUUUCAUUUACAAACCUAUAUGAACCUGUUGUGUGUGUAAGUUCAUAAGAAAUGACAGUUUGAUAUGGCAGAGUUGUUUGUCUGUUAAGUUGCCCUCAGAAACAGCUGCAAGUCUACGGCAGGGUACCAAAAACAGUGACUUGCACUAAUACCUCAAUUCAUUAGGAUUUCAGGAGCACGUCAUAUUAAGUGAACAAUGUUCUUGCCACUGGAAGAUCAAUCCAUGUUCAACAUGUUCAAGCCUACAAAAUGUUGACUACAUGCAGGCCAUUGAAUGGUGCAGUGUCAAUGCAUAUCUACUUGUGACAUCUUUAAGACUACGGUUACACCCAACCAUGUAUUUGCAAUAUUUCUAAGUACAGCAUUCUCCACUGGUCAGUGAACUAAUAUCAACUUUUAGCUCAAAAAAAAUAAAAUCAACUGAUAAAACAUUUUCUCAAAAGUAGAAAAAUGUGAAUGCUUACAGGAAUUUGCUGGUUUCUCUUGUGGGACAUAAAAGCUUUGUAAGCCUCUGGCUUUUCUUUGACAGCAUCUUGAAGCGUCAGGCCCUGCACAUCUCCUAUGUGUCUUUCUCUAAGUGCAGGAUCAAACACAACCUAUAAUGCAAAUUGUUUGCUCAUUAAUAUUAUAUCAAGCAAUUUGUCAAGAUGUGUGGAGAUG
Molecule: long non-coding RNA, 2019 nt
Filed under: Triticum aestivum (bread wheat)
Lineage: Eukaryota; Viridiplantae; Streptophyta; Magnoliopsida; Poales; Poaceae
Description: long non-coding RNA (TAES_LNC011510)
Source: RNAcentral